GAAAGCUGUGUUAUGGGGUCAAACAAAUGAAUAUAUCUCCGCAAGUAUUCCAUCAGCAAAACUUAUCCAAUGUUCAUUGGGGAUGUGUGUGCAUAUUCACACCAAAUUUCAUCAAAAUCUGUGAUGGUCGACCUGGGAGCCCCAGACCAUUUUACAUGGAAUGACCUAUAAGAAAGAUGUACAAGGAAAUAACAACAGACCAAGGUGUAAUUCUAAUGAAACUGUCAAUGAAAUCUAAAUUCUGUCUUAGAAACACUUGUCUGUCAUGAAAGUGUGAAAUACUGUACAGCUAUAUUUGGAGAAUACUGAGUGACAUUAACUAUACGUUUCUUGUAUUAUUGCAGUAUCUCAAGAACAGUGCUGCUUUUGCCAAGAUCAUCACAACAUGAACUUUACUGAUGCUUUUGGAGAUUCCAAGGAAUGUUGGAAACAUACAACUCGUAAAUAGCUGGGAGAGUCCAAAUGGCGGAGAAGGUUUCCAGAACUUGACUCAUAAGGAAGCCAGUUAUCUGCCUAAGCUGUUUACGUGACAGUCCACCAAAGAAGAAGAAAGUCUCUUGAUUUUGAUAGUCACAG
Molecule: non-coding RNA, 576 nt
Organism: Thamnophis sirtalis
Lineage: Eukaryota; Metazoa; Chordata; Lepidosauria; Squamata; Natricidae
Source: RefSeq, a predicted model, not a curated record